This 72-nucleotide transfer RNA is filed under the name Acaryochloridaceae cyanobacterium RU_4_10. RNAcentral describes it as "tRNA-His". It matches the Rfam family "tRNA". From Rfam's summary of the family: Transfer RNA (tRNA) molecules are approximately 80 nucleotides in length. Their secondary structure includes four short double-helical elements and three loops (D, anti-codon, and T loops). Lineage: Bacteria; Bacillati; Cyanobacteriota; Cyanophyceae; Acaryochloridales; Acaryochloridaceae. The record is from RNAcentral.
GCGAGCGUAGCCAAGUGGUUAAGGCAGUGGUUUGUGGUACCACCAUUCGCGGGUUCGAACCCGUCGUUCGCC